UCAAGGCACUUGCAUUCUGGCAGAAGACAGUUUAAAAAACAGACACUGUUCCUUUCUCUGGCUACCAGGCUACUGAAAUAUUGAGCCCCAAAGAAUUAUAGUUUCCCCAGGAUAUCCUGCUAGGGGAAGAGACGUGCUGAAGCCCUGAUGGCAGCCGGCCCGAGGAGGAACUUGCCUCCUAGGAAGAGAUUUCACACAGUUCUGACAACUUGUGGGACUUUCUUUCUCGGGAGAAACUGGAGCACAGACAUUAAUGGGAGGCCAAAGAGCCGGGUGGAGAGGACCUGUGACCCCGGAGCAGUCCAACUUUGAACAGGGUCAGAGUUGAACGUUCUCAGAAAGUUCUAGUCCUUCUGCGGCUGCCUUCCCACAAGGAAAAAUCGCUGACAGGACAUAGUCAGCACCCCUGCUGCCCCACCCAGCCUUGCCAGCUUGCUCUUGGUCCCUGCCCUUUGCCUUCUGGCUCUGGCUUCCUCUAAGACAGUGGCACCAGAGAGGAAAGGCGAAGUGCAGAGGUGUGUGGGGCCAGGGACUCUGGGUUAGGGUGAAAGACCCCAGGAGAGCCACCAUCUGUCAAGCAAGAACUGGGAGCCUCAUAAAAGAAUUGGGGCGGGGGAGGUUGUAGUCUGGCAACAAUGGCCAAAUGAGGUUGGUCUGAGUUGGGACCUUGGGAAAAAGAAUCAAUGAAGGAUUAAAGUGGGGAUAAUUUUAAUAGCUAACACUUAUUAAAGGCUUACUAAGUGUCAGAUGCAAGGCCAGGUGCUUAACACGAGUGAUCUCAUUUAACUCUCUUAAAUGUCUUUAUUAUCACUGCGUUAUUCUUGGGUAGUGGAAAUUCUGGCUCAGAGAGGUUAGGUAGCUUGUCUGAGGUCCACAGCCAAUGAAGGAAGACUGAGGCCUAGAACUCACAUAAGUUUGAAACAUAAUCUUAGGUAACCUCUUCACUGCAUAGCUUCAGAGGUACCAAGGAAGGUGCUAGUAACUCCAUUAUAGGUCUUGAGAAAGACCACUGGGAGCAAGAGGUCCUGGAGAAAUGCAGAAACAGUUUUGGGGAGGAUCGUGUCUCACUAAUGCAGCCUAUGAUGAGAAGCCUUUGUUGUUCUCAGCCUCCUGUCUCUGUCAAAUCCACGUGGAGCUCCAGCCCUGUGCAACACAGAGGAUCAUGGGCCAGUGACAGGGCUUGAGGCUAGUUGGAACAGCUGUGCUAGAGCUCAGGAAAUCACCGCACAGAAGAAGUUGACUUCCUGACUUCCAUAUCCCUAGGAUGAUGAAGUUUGAGCUAGAAGGGUGUGCUAGGGACUCAUGACAGCCAGGCCUGAGACAGGGAAGGCGCCGGUUCACGGACUGUGCCGGAGGGCUCUCUAUAAAAGGCCAGCACUGUUUUGACACCUGCUGUUUUCUCCUGUGCAAACCUUUCUAUUCAGAUUCCCACAGGAGGCCUUUGGAGUGUUCUUUGAGAUUGCCUUGGAUCUGGCCUGGCCCUUCUAGCCAGGGACAGUGAUUCACCCCGACCAGAACAUUGACAUCUGCUCAGGAGAACACUGUGUGCUCUGGACUGGUGCCGGAGCCCAAGGGAAAAGGGAAGUGUGCAGAACCCAUAGGCCAAGGGAAAGCCUGGGCGGGCUUCUGCUAUGGCAGCUGCUCAAACACUUCCAUCUAAGCCUGGCCUUCUUCCUUUGGGCAGUGGGCGACCAUGGUACCGUCACCGGGUGCUUCCUCAGCUCUUCUUGGGGGCUGUUUUCCCGCAGGACUCUGGCCCAGGGAAUGAUGCUCCACACAGUCAAGGAUGAAGCCACACAAGUUCAGGAGUUCUCAUCUGUCCAUGAGCCUCCUAUGCAAGAUUUCUAAGGCUUUGUCCGCUGAACAAAUGCUGGACGAAAUGACUGACUCUACAGGAGGAGGACUUUGGCCUUGAUGCUUCGAGGGCAGAUUCUGGGAAGUUCCCCUGCCCAUCCCAUUAUGGGGUGCCUGUCUAGGCGAGUUGUAACUUCUCUGAAGGGCUUAAUGCCUUUCUAGGAGAAGAGCCGCAAGUAGGUCACAUGGGUUAAACUGGCCUGAAGUGUAUGGAAAAACAACUCCCCAGACUUUGGAACUCAGCAGCUUCCCUUCAUGCUAUCCGGGGGAACAGGGGCUCUGCUCCAACAUGUGUGUGGGACAACAAUUUGAAGCUUGAUGUUCAGUCAAAACCACACAGACUUAUGUAACGUGACCCAGUUCCUUGAUUUUGUAAAGAAGGCGGGGGAGGGGAGUCAACUGCGAGAAGAGAAUGUAGUUAUUUACCAGUUUCUUCCUAAGGGCAAAAAAACAGAAUGUUCAGCAUUCAAGGGAGGGGCGGGAGUUGGGUUCUGCCUGAGUAAUUCUUGCUCACUGGAAAGACAGGGUCAGGUGACAAACUUCCAUAGCUAGGCCUAGCACCAGAAAGGGCCCUGGCUAGGGGCCGGGCAAAUGCCUUCCUGAAAUCCAAGUGCCUCCAGCCCUUUGUAACUUUGCCCUGGUCUCCCAUUUCCUACGUGGAUGGGAAUGUUAGACAGGUCGAUGCUGUAGGCCCUGCAGGGGAAAUUGGAGGUAGAAGACAUUGAGAAGGAGGAGCCCUUGAGAGGAAGUACUGCAGAGCCCCUGGCCUGCUCACACCACACACACACACACACACACACACACACACACACACACACACAGGUGCCUCUGAGUUAGUAUGGCCCAGGUUGGCCUGCAAUCUACCGUCUGCCUACUUCACCUUCUCCAGUGCUGCUAUUCCAGGCUUUCCUCACCAUGCUUGACCCUUGCCUUUUCCUACUUCUCCCUCCUCUCCCUCCUCCCCCUUCUCUUUUGGGCCCAGGUCUCACCACGUAGGCCAAGCAGACCUAGAACUCACCAGGUAGCCCCAACUCAGGGUUACAGUAAUUCCCCUGCCUCCGCUUUUCAGGGACUGAGAUGACAGCUGUGUGCCAUCACCCACAACCCUUGCCUUUUUCUGAAGGCCAAAGGAACACAUGGCUCUAUCUCUCUCUUAGUCUUGAAGCUUCUGAGGCAGGGAGUGACACAAGCGAAUUAUAGGGGACAAUAAGGCCUUCCAUAACCCUUCGUCGACGUCUGUGUCCUCCUCUGUGUGGUAGUGAUGGCUCUCCAGGAAGGCUGAAGACUGUUGACAUGAAUCUGUACUCCUAGGUUUGGGGAACUGGGUGUUAUUGCAUAAUUAUUCCAUCCGUACACAAAGGAAAUCCUUAAGACCUGAAAGAAUGCUACAUUCUUGAGGGCAUGUGCCUGCUGUGGUGGCCUUUGCCUCUACUCCUAACACUUGAGACAGCGGGAAAGAGAAUGUCAAGUUCAAAGACAGCCUGGGCUCCAUAGCAAGAUCCCAUCUCAAAAAUCAAUGCACGAGCCGGCCGGUGGUAGCGC
Non-coding RNA from Myodes glareolus (Bank vole), 3396 nucleotides. The record is from RefSeq and is a predicted model, not a curated record. Lineage: Eukaryota; Metazoa; Chordata; Mammalia; Rodentia; Cricetidae.